Molecule: ribosomal RNA, 253 nt
Filed under: uncultured bacterium
Lineage: Bacteria
Description: partial 16S ribosomal RNA
Rfam family: Bacterial small subunit ribosomal RNA
Source: RNAcentral
UACGUAGGUGGCAAGCGUUGUCCGGAAUCACUGGGCGUAAAGGGCGCGUAGGUGGUCUGAUAAGGGUGUGGUGAAAGCCCGGGGCUCAACCCCGGGUCGGCCGUGCCGACUGUUAGACUAGAGUGCUGUAGGGGCAGGCGGAAUUCCGGGUGUAGCGGUGGAAUGCGUAGAGAUCCGGAGGAAGACCGGUGGCGAAGGCGGCCUGCUGGGCAGUUACUGACACUGAGGCGCGACAGCGUGGGGAGCAAACAGG